CAUGCUACUCCAGAAUUUAUGGUAAAUUGCCUGGAUGCUAGGAGCUUUAUUAUUAUUAUUUAUUUACAUACUCCAGAAGUUCUAAAUGUGCCCAUUUAUUACAUUUUUACGGUAGGCAUGCUACUCCAGAAUUUAUGGUAAAUUGCCUGGAUGCUAGGAGCUUUAUUAUUAUUAUUUAUUUACAUACUCCAGAAGUUCUAAAUGUGCCCAUUUAUUACAGUUUUUACGGUAGGCAUGCUACUCCAGAAUUUAUGGUAAAUUGCCUGGAUGUUAGGGGUUUUUUAUUAUUCAUUUACAUACUCCAGAAGUUCUAAAUGCGCCCAUUUAUUACAGUUUUUACGGUAGGCAUGCUACUCCAGAAUUUAUGGUAAAUUUCCUGGAUGCUAGGAGCUUUCUUAUUAUUUAUUUACAUAUACAAGAAGUUCUAAAUGUGCCCAUUUAUUACAGUUUUUACGGUAUUCAUGCUACUCCAAAAGUUUAUCCAUUUUAUUUGGGGUUUGUCUAUAGCCAUGCUGCUCUACAGAUUUUGGUCAAUUCCAUAUUCGUUUCGUUUUCAGCAGGCGCGCUGCUCCAGAAGUUACGGUAGUGUUCCCUGUGUAUUAGUGCUUUUAUGCUAGGCAUGCUACUCUAAAACUUAUAAUAGUUACAGUAGGUUGUUCGUGUUGUUUGUGGUUUUAGAAUACUAAAAUAAUAAACUGACCAUUUUAUUUAUUAGACUUUGUUUAAUAAUAAGCCUCACAGUCCGUAAGAUUUAGUAGUUUGCCCAUCUAUUAUUGCUUUCAAGGUAGACGUUCUACUCUAGACGUUUUAUAUAUAUAUAUACAUAUAAACAGACAUGCUCCUCCACAGGUUAUGGUAAAAUACUUAUUUAUUAAAGAUUUCUUUUUAAACAAUAGCCAGGAGGUACCCCAGAAGCUUUUACGGUAAUUUGCUCGGUUAUCAGCGCUUUAAUGGUAGACAUGCUGCUCCAGACCUCGUGCUGGUCUGUUGUUUAUAUUUGUGGUUUUAAAUGAGAUACUCUUCUCCAUGUAACGGUAAAUCGCAUAUUCAUUAGGAUUUUUAGGCAUGAUAGUGCGGACGUUACAGUAGUUUGGUUUUGUUUUUAUUUGUGCUUUUAUAGUAGCCAUGCUAAACAUGAACGUACGGUAGUUUGCACAGUUUAAUGGUUGAUAUGAAGCACAAGUAGAUGCAGAUAUAUUGCUGCUUUCUGGUAGAUGCGCUGCUCCAGAAUUGACAGUAAUUGAAGAUAAUUGUGGACAUUUUCACAGCAUCCCAUGCUGCUCCGGUAAUUACAGCAGUUAUACGUUCUCCCAGUUACGGGAAGAUGCAUACCUGUGACUGAGAUUGGUACAACAGGAUCGUUUCCAUAUUUUACUGUGAUGUCUUCAACGUCACACCCAGCCCUAUUACACAGUCCUUCCCAUGCUCCCUCUGAAUACUGCUGUAUCGCUCCUCUAACCAAAACACCAGAGAGCUGACGGCAAUAUUUUUCUUCUCCGAGCUUCCCCCGAAAGCCGUCUGUCUCUCUGACUGGCCCAAUUCUUCACCAAGAUAUUAAUAUGAUUUUCAAAAUGUUACCCUGUCCUCAUUAGGAGAAUUACCGGCUGGUGAAAGAUCACUCGUUUAAGUGGGUUAUAAAGCUUCUCUUAUGCUGCUCCACGUCCGGCCGCACUCCGGCUUUUAUAAGGCCUAAUUCAUGACCCGGAACGUAAUUUGGUCCCAAUGAGAAAAACCAGUACGGAGCUAAACGCAUUUCCGAGUCGAAACAAGCGCGUUUAAUCUUCCCGGAAGAUUAAACGGGAGAUUCCCGGAGGAUUAAACGGGAAGCCUCCUGCUCUUUGAAAAGGCAUGGAGUCAUUCACUGACCUAGAUAUUAUUAUCUUCGGCAUAUAAGCACAUUGUACUUGAUUUUUGCACUCGGAGAAAGAGAAACUGUGAGAGCGAGAUAGUGAAAGUGUGUUUAUUCCUACACACAUAGCUCCGACCUCCUACAGCCGGCGAGACAGCCGCACCAUUCAUGCGAACGGCGUGCCACGACGGACCCACGGCAGACCUGUUCGAGCGGGGUCUGGCGCCAAACCCGUCCAUUCUCAGCACGGACAUUACUCCAAGAGACUUCGAUUCGCCAGGUCAGCAGCUUCCCCAAGUGACUCCUUUGCGCAAGAGGACACCGAGGACAUCGCAUUGCAUCCUUUCUGAAAAUUGCUCAUGGAAAUAGUGGAGGGAAAAAAAAAAAACAAUCAGGAAGACAGAUCUGACCAUGCCAAGUCAUUAAUUGACACGCUAAUUAGCUCAGCUAGUGUCCUCUCCACUUGGGGCCAGGCCUUGAUGUUCCCCCGAGGCAUCCCUGAAGCCUGCGCUGAAUAACUGAAUGUCUUCCUGCUGAUGUGGGGGGAAAAAAACCAGCACUUCCUCUGAGGAAAACGCAACAGGAUGUCGGAGAUGCUCCGUGGGGACCCCUGCCACGACGACCUCAUCUGCGGCAGCAGCCGUCAGUUCAGAGAGUAUUAACAAAGGAGCGUCUAUAACGUAGACGGUCGAGGAAAAGACGUCUGCUAUCCAAAGGCAAAACCAUUUAUAUCUGACGGGGGUGCGGUGGGUGUGGGGCUGUCAUAUGGUCAUUUCCCACCCCUAACUAAAGCUGGAGGGGCAACCCUGGAGAAACCAGGAAUGCUCAUGUUAACACUUUCGCUGGAGGAAAAGAGCCCAUUGUUUCGUGCGCUCUCCACCAGACUCGACAGGAAGUCACAGUAAUUAUGUAGGCUUAUGUACAGACUGUAAGUCCCAGGCAAAAAGUGCAAUAAUGACGGCUAAGUUUCAGUUCAAAUCGGAGCCCCUUCCCAGACGAGUGGGAUAUUAUAAGCUUCGAGGCCAAAAGUUUGUAGACACCUCGCCGUCAUAAUCGUAUGCGCCCGUUGAACAUCUCAUUAAAGCUCCACUCUUCUGGGAAGGCUUUCCGCUAGAUUUUGGAGCGUGGCUGUGGGGAUUAGUGUCUAUACAUUCAAAGUCAUUCAGACAAAGAAAAAGUCAUCAGAGUCAGUUCUGCGGUGACGGGUCUGGAGGAGAACCGCAAACGGACGUGAUCAUCAGGUGUAUAGUGUAUAUUAAGAAAUAGCAAAUCCACAUUGUGGUGCUUGGCGAAUUCUUUGUAUGUUUAUGUAGCUCUACUUAAGAGAUCAGAGCGCUACAAAGGUUCAUAAUCAAGCCUGUCAGUAGCAUCCAGGGAUCAGAGCCAGAUGUGUUGACGUGUGGAAAGUAAACUGUGGUGGAUCUGAAGGAAUGGGUUCUGAAUGAGUUCUGGAAUUUCUCAUUGUAAAUACACCGUGUUUACAUGCAGAGCCAGAACGGAGCGUACGCGGGGAUUUGCCGACGAAUCGACGGGUUAAUCAUGCAUAAAUGGAGCAUUUUGUUCGAAAUUGAAAAUUUUUUUUUUUUUAAAAAUGCGUUUCGCCUCACACCAAUAAAAAACAGAUGUUGGCGAAAACAAAAUAUUAAAAAGGGAGCUUUCACAAUGUGUAAUCCCCUCAUUUAUCUUCAGCUGACUGCUAGGACAGUGAAGAUCAUCUCUGGCCUUCUCACCCCUUCAAUCUUAUUUAUAUAACAACAGUCAGGCGGCUAUGGUUACGUUACAGACAGACCGAGCCAGAAAAGCCAGUAGAACAUAAAGGAAGCUAUACCGUAAACAAUAUACAUGCUAACCGUCCCUCAUCCUAUUAGCAUGCGUCUAUUAGCAUGACACAAACCAGGCUGAAACUACUGCUUAAUGAAAUGUCCUGUUUUCCAUCACAUAACAGUACUUCGGCAAAAAAAAAAAAAACAAACCCCAGAGCAGUUCAUGAGAAUCGUGUCGAAGCUGAAAUCGUGCACCGCUGCACUCGCAUAUCGCGUUUCCACAGCCGGAGAGAAGUGACACAGGACAGUCUCGAGCGUGACCUCCAGCUGAUUUCCUUUAAAGAAUCCGCGCUGUUGAUGUGCAGACGUCAUGUUCGUUUCCCCCACACCCUCACCCACAC
Molecule: long non-coding RNA, 4013 nt
Organism: Ictalurus punctatus (channel catfish)
Lineage: Eukaryota; Metazoa; Chordata; Actinopteri; Siluriformes; Ictaluridae
Source: Ensembl